RNAcentral lists this ribosomal RNA (414 nucleotides) under uncultured microorganism. RNAcentral's name for it is "bacterial SSU rRNA". It matches the Rfam family "Archaeal small subunit ribosomal RNA", at positions 459 to 872 of the family's 1478-position model. The record is from RNAcentral.
CAGCAGCCGCGGUAAUACCGGCGGCCCUAGUGGCGGUCACUUUUAUUGGGCUUAAAGCGUCCGUAGCCGGGUUGGGAAGUCCUCCGGGAAAUCUGGCCGCUUAACGGUCAGAAUGCCGGAGGAUACUCCCAGCCUAGGGAGCGGGGGAGGCCGAGGGUAUUCCCGGAGUAGGGGGGAAAUCCUAUAAUCCCCGGAGGACCACCUGUGGCGAAGGCGCUCGGCUGGAACGCGUCCGACGGUGAGGGACGAAGGCCAGGGGAGCAAACCGGAUUAGAUACCCGGGUAGUCCUGGCUGUAAACGAUGCGGACUUUGUGUCGGACAAGCUAUGAGCUUGUCCGGUGCCGGAGGGAAACCGUUAAGUCCGCCGCCUGGGGAGUACGGCCGCAAGGCUGAAACUUAAAGGAAUUGGCGGG